This 253-nucleotide ribosomal RNA is filed under the name uncultured bacterium. RNAcentral's name for it is "partial 16S ribosomal RNA". It matches the Rfam family "Bacterial small subunit ribosomal RNA", at positions 524 to 776 of the family's 1533-position model. The record is from RNAcentral.
UACGGAGGGGGCAAGCGUUGUUCGGAAUUAUUGGGCGUAAAGCGUAUGUAGGCGGCUAGGUAAGUCAGGCGUGCAAGCCCGUGGCUCAACCACGGAAUUGCGCUUGAAACUGCUUAGCUUGAGUAUAGGAGAGGAAAGCGGAAUUCCCAGUGUAGCGGUGAAAUGCAUUGAUAUUGGGAAGAACAUCUGUGGCGAAGGCGGCUUUCUGGCCUGUUACUGACGCUGAGAUACGAAAGCCAGGGUAGCGAACGGG